This 484-nucleotide ribosomal RNA is filed under the name uncultured bacterium. Its description in RNAcentral is "partial 16S ribosomal RNA". It matches the Rfam family "Bacterial small subunit ribosomal RNA", at positions 29 to 507 of the family's 1533-position model. The record is from RNAcentral.
AUUGAACGCUGGCGGCAUGCUUUACACAUGCAAGUCGAACGGCAGCGCGGGCUUCGGCCUGGCGGCGAGUGGCGGACGGGUGAGUAAUGCAUCGGAACGUGCCCAGUAGUGGGGGAUAGCGCGGCGAAAGGCGGAUUAAUACCGCAUACGACCUGAGGGUGAAAGCGGGGGACCGAAGGACCUCGCGCUAUUGGAUCGGCCGAUGUCGGAUUAGCUAGUUGGUGGGGUAAAGGCUUACCAAGGCGACGAUCCGUAGCUGGUCUGAGAGGAUGACCAGCCACACUGGAACUGAGACACGGCCCAGACUCCUACGGGAGGCAGCAGUGGGGAAUUUUGGACAAUGGGGGCAAGCCUGAUCCAGCCAUGCCGCGUGUGGGAAGAAGGCCUUCGGGUUGUAAACCGCUUUUGUUCGGGAAGAAAUGCAGUGAGCUAAUACCUCGGGGGGAUGACGGUACCGGAAGAAUAAGCACCGGCUAACUACGUG